GACAGAAGAGCCCUCUUCUCCCCCA
Molecule: non-coding RNA, 25 nt
Filed under: Rattus norvegicus (Norway rat)
Lineage: Eukaryota; Metazoa; Chordata; Mammalia; Rodentia; Muridae
Source: RNAcentral